This 857-nucleotide ribosomal RNA is filed under the name Salmonella enterica. Its description in RNAcentral is "partial 23S ribosomal RNA". It matches the Rfam family "Bacterial large subunit ribosomal RNA", at positions 454 to 1211 of the family's 2925-position model. The record is from RNAcentral. Lineage: Bacteria; Pseudomonadati; Pseudomonadota; Gammaproteobacteria; Enterobacterales; Enterobacteriaceae.
CAUCCUCCAAGGCUAAAUACUCCUGACUGACCGAUAGUGAACCAGUACCGUGAGGGAAAGGCGAAAAGAACCCCGGCGAGGGGAGUGAAACAGAACCUGAAACCGUGUACGUACAAGCAGUGGGAGCCCCACCACUAAGCCAGUGGUGAACUCCACAUACGCAUCCUUUGCGGAAGAUACGGUUAACGGAGCGAAAGCGACGUUCAACCGCAAAAGAAGCAGAGGGGGCUUAGUGGUGGGGUGACUGCGUACCUUUUGUAUAAUGGGUCAGCGACUUAUAUUCUGUAGCAAGGUUAACCGUAUAGGGGAGCCGGAGGGAAACCGAGUCUUAACCGGGCGUUAAGUUGCAGGGUAUAGACCCGAAACCCGGUGAUCUAGCCAUGGGCAGGUUGAAGGUUGGGUAACACUAACUGGAGGACCGAACCGACUAAUGUUGAAAAAUUAGCGGAUGACCUGUGGCUGGGGGUGAAAGGCCAAUCAAACCGGGAGAUAGCUGGUUCUCCCCGAAAGCUAUUUAGGUAGCGCCUCGUGAAUUCAUCUCCGGGGGUAGAGCACUGUUUCGGCCAGGGGGCCAUCCCGGCUUACCAACCCGAUGCAAACUGCGAAUACCGGAGAAUGUUAUCACGGGAGACACACGGCGGGUGCUAACGUCCGUCGUGAAGAGGGAAACAACCCAGACCGCCAGCUAAGGUCCCAAAGUCAUGGUUAAGUGGGAAACGAUGUGGGAAGGCCCAGACAGCCAGGAUGUUGGCUUAGAAGCAGCCAUCAUUUAAAGAAAGCGUAAUAGCUCACUGGUCGAGUCGGCCUGCGCGGAAGAUGUAACGGGGCUAAACCAUGCACCGAAGCUGCGGCAGCGA